RNAcentral lists this ribosomal RNA (464 nucleotides) under uncultured bacterium. RNAcentral's name for it is "partial 16S ribosomal RNA". It matches the Rfam family "Bacterial small subunit ribosomal RNA", at positions 339 to 795 of the family's 1533-position model. The record is from RNAcentral.
CUACGGGUUGCAGCAGUGGGGAAUAUUGCACAAUGGGCGCAAGCCUGAUGCAGCCAUGCCGCGUGUAUGAAGAAGACCUUCGGGUUGUAAAGUACUUUCAGCGGGGAGGAAGGGAGUAAAGUUAAUACCUUUGCUCAUUGACGUUACCCGCAGAAGAAGCACCGGCUAACUCCGUGCCAGCAGCCGCGGUAAUACGGAGGGUGCAAGCGUUAAUCGGAAUUACUGGGCGUAAAGCGCACGCAGGCGGUUUGUUAAGUCAGAUGUGAAAUCCCCGGGCUCAACCUGGGAACUGCAUCUGAUACUGGCAAGCUUGAGUCUCGUAGAGGGGGGUAGAACUCCAGGUGUAGCGGUGAAAUGCGUAGAGAUCUGGAGGAAUACCGGUGGCGAAGGCGGCCCCCUGGACGAAGACUGACGCUCAGGUGCGAAAGCGUGGGGAGCAAACAGGAUUAGAUACCCCGGUAGUC